Molecule: ribosomal RNA, 253 nt
Filed under: uncultured bacterium
Lineage: Bacteria
Description: partial 16S ribosomal RNA
Rfam family: Bacterial small subunit ribosomal RNA
Source: RNAcentral
UACGUAGGGUGCAAGCGUUGUCCGGAAUUAUUGGGCGUAAAGAGCUCGUAGGUGGUUUGUCGCGUUGUUCGUGAAAACUCACAGCUUAACUGUGGGCGUGCGGGCGAUACGGGCAGACUGGAGUACUGCAGGGGAGACUGGAAUUCCUGGUGUAGCGGUGGAAUGCGCAGAUAUCAGGAGGAACACCGGUGGCGAAGGCGGGUCUCUGGGCCGAUACUGACGCUGAGGAGCGAAAGCAUGGGUAGCGAACAGG